Molecule: unclassified non-coding RNA, 281 nt
Filed under: uncultured fungus
Lineage: Eukaryota; Fungi
Description: partial contains 5.8S ribosomal RNA, internal transcribed spacer 2, and large subunit ribosomal RNA
Rfam family: 5.8S ribosomal RNA (bases 1-52)
Source: RNAcentral
AACGCACCUUGCGCUCCGUGGUAUUCCGCGGAGCAUGCCUGUUUGAGUGUCGCGCCCCCCUCUCAACCCCGCCGGCUCGCCUCGUGCGCCGGCCGCGGGCUUGGAUCGUGGCCCCUCUGCCUCUGGGCGGACGGCCGAAAUGCCUGAGCCCACUGUUGGCACGCGGUCUGACCGGAACGUUGUACGCACCUCGUUCUCGGGACGCGCGCCUCCUGCGGCUGCGAAUCGCGCACUCUAGUGACCUCGACCUCAAAUCAGGCAGGACGACCCGCUGAACUUAA